This is a long non-coding RNA of Vombatus ursinus (common wombat), 361 nucleotides long. RefSeq lists it as uncharacterized. The transcript has 3 exons. Lineage: Eukaryota; Metazoa; Chordata; Mammalia; Diprotodontia; Vombatidae. The record is from RefSeq and is a predicted model, not a curated record.
UGCUGCCUGACGCUCCGACUCUGAUGGGGUGAGGUGGGGUGUCAUAGGCUUCCACCCGAGAGAUUACGGGGACCUCGCCCUUGUUUUACACGUGGGGAAACUGAGGGAUUUCUCCAAGGUCAUGCGGUUGGCAGUAACUAGGAUUCAAACGUAGGUAACAUGGCCUCUCAUCCAUUACAGACCCCAAGAGGACCUUUCUCUUGGUCCCCAUCCCAGUCCCAGCCAGUGUCUCCCUGCCCUUGGGAAGUGAAGACCUACCACAAAGGCCUGAGUGAAUUUCAGAAGUAGAGGUGAAGAAUUUAAGGCCCAGAAAAAAUUCUAAGUAACUUGCCCAAAGUCACAGAAGUAGUUAUUAGCGGAG